Molecule: long non-coding RNA, 688 nt
Filed under: Homo sapiens (human)
Lineage: Eukaryota; Metazoa; Chordata; Mammalia; Primates; Hominidae
Description: HSALNT0229209
Source: RNAcentral
CAGAGUAAGAGGAGAAAAAGGCCAAGGGUGGUGGAGCGUUUAGGAGUCUCAACAUGUAAAGGGUGGUUGGAGUUUCAAAGAGCUGAGAAAGAACUUGACGAGGGAUGGCAGAGACAAUUUUAGUCAUUGGUUGAGCUUCCGUUCCUUGGGGAUUGGGGAAGCAUUAAUUUCCCAGGCACCUUUAGCAGGCCAUGUGCAUGGGGAAAGGAGGCUCUGGCAGCCAGAUAAAGUCCUCACGUAAAAAGACAGGAGAUGGCAGUUGGAAGUUGGAUGAAAGUGAUGAAAAUGUCACAAGGUACCCCAGUGAGCCAAGAGUGUGUAUCAACCAUUGGGUGCUAGACCAGGAAGGAGUCAGAAGAACAAAUCAGUCUGAAGAGUCUGAUUAUUAUUUAAUGGUCAGGAGACCAAGGGAGGCUGCCCUGAGGAGGUGACAUUUGAGCUAAGAUGGGCGGAAUGAAAAGGAGACACUGAAGAAUGAGCUGUAGAAGGAACAGAGAGUUAGAAGCUAGAAAAGUACAUGGAGAACCAUACAACUGUGGUGUCAUAAAAGGUAAGGGAAGAAAGAGUUCCUGAAAAAGGAAGUGUGUGUGGAGGUAGUGAAUAGAAUGAUAGGUAUGAGAGGCUGGGAAGAGUGUGCAGGUGGGAGGUGGGCAUGAAGACAGGUUGGUAAACUGGACAUACAUACAGU